GGGAACUGGGGGGGAACUGGGGGGGGAAUUGGGAACUGGGGGGGUACUGGGAGGUACUGGGAGAUACUGGGAGGGGGGAAUUGGGAACUGGGGGGUCACUGGGAGGUACUGGGAGGUACUGGGAGGUACUGGGAGGGAACUGGGGGGGCACUGGGAGGUACUGGGAGGUGCUGGGAGAGGGGAAUUGGGAACUGGGGGGGCACUGAGAGGUACUGGGAGGUACUGGGAGGUACUGGGAGGGAACUGGGGGGGGGCAAUUGGGAACUCGGGGGGUACUGGGAGUUACUGGGAGAUACUGGGAGGUACUGGGAGGUACCAGGAGGUAACUGGGGGGGUACUGGGAGGUACUGGGAGAUACUGGGAGCUACUGGGAGGGGGCAAUUGGGAACUGGGGGGGUACUGGGAGAUACUGGGAGGUACUGGGAGGUACCGGGAGGGAAUUGGGGGGGCACUGGGAGGUACUGGGAGAUACUGGGAGCUACUGGGAGGGAACUGGGGGGGGGAACUGGGAACUGGGGGGGCACUGGGAGGUACUGGGAGCUACUGGGAGCUACUGGGAGGGGCAAUUGGGAACUGGGGGUGUACCGGGGCGGGAUGGGGGGGGCUGUGUGGGUGUCGCUGACCCCCCCCCGGCCCCCCCCUGUUUCCACAUGUGCCGCCCGUCGCCGGGGGGGCAGCGGCUGCUGGCCGAGCUCCGCGCCCCCCCCCCGCUGCGCCCCGCCCGCCGCCCCUCGGCCCUCACCACCGUCUUCCGAGGCCCCCCCCCGAGAGCUGCUGCCAGGACCCGGAGCUGGGGGGGGCCGGCGGGGGGGGAUGGGCCCGGACCCCCCCCCCUCCCCAAGGAGCCCCCCCCCCCCAAAUAAAAAAAUAAAUUAUAAUUAAAUUUUUAAUGAUUAAAUUAAAGAGCUCGGGGGGUUGAUUGACAGCCGUGACCUUUGACCUUUGAGCGGGUGGGGGGUGACGUCAUGGGGAGUGACGUCAUCGGGGGCGUGACGUCACGAUAGGGCACCUCUUGGUGGGGGGGAGGUUUUAGAGGGACUUUGAGCGCCACACUGCCGUAAAGCGCGGAUGGGUGAAGUGUCGUGAAAGCAAACAGCCAUGCUGCCGUAAAGCAGAGCUUCGGGUUUACGUGAGGCGCCACUCUGCCGUAAAGCGCGCGUGGGUGAGGUGUCGUGAAAGGGGCUCGCCGCUCUGCCGUAAAGCAGCGCUGAGGGGGGAUGUAAGGAGACAGAAAUGUCGUAAUCGCCCGCCGUAAAGCCGUAAAGCAGGUCGGAGAGGGAAAGGGGGACGCCAUGCUGCCGUAGAGCGCGGAAGGGCGGAGUGUCGUGAAAACGCACGGCCACUCUGCCGUAACGCAGCGCUGCGGGCCGUAAGGGAGCGCCACACUGCCGUAAAGCGCAAGAAGACGAGGUGUCUUGAAAGCGGCGCUCUGCCGUAAAGGAGAACGGGGAGGGAGUGGGAUGGCCACGCUGCCGUAAAGUGAGGAUGGGUGAAGUGUUGUGAAAGCGGGCCGCCACUCUGCCGUAAAGCAGUGCUAUUAGGUACAGGCAGAGCCUCUGCCGUAAAGCGCAGGAAGCUGCAGUGUCGUGAACGCAGUUUGCCACACUGCCGUAAAGCAGAUCGCGGAGUCGCCGCGGCGCCGCUCUGCCGUAAAGCACGGAACGCUGAAAAAAAGCGUCGCAAACCCCCCGCCUCCACGCUGCCGUAAAGCAGGUGGCGGAGCAGCCGGCGCGCCACUCUGCCGUAAAGCGCGCCCGCCCGCGCCCCGUUUCGCCGCGCGCGGCUCGCGCUUUACGGCAGCGUCGCAAAAAGGCGGCGGAAGAUGGCGGCGGUGACGGCGCAGGCGGCGACGGGGCCCUGGGACGGGGCCGGGGCCGGGGUCGUGGCUUGGGGGGGGCCGGGCCCCGCCGGGCUUCACCGGGACUGGACCCAGGAGGCCGUCAGCACCGGCGUGAGGGGCGGGGGGACGUGGGGGGGGCGGAAUUGGCGGCGGGCCCGUCGAGGGGGUCUCUAUAUGGGGCUGGGGGGUCGCUAUGGGGCGGGGGGAUUGCUAUGGGGCCUGGGUUUCGCUAUGGGGCUAGGGGAUUGCUAUGGGGCUGGAGGGGUCGCUAUGGGGCCGGGGGGUCGCUGUGGGGCUGGGGGGGUGCUAUGGGGCUGGGGGGUCGCUAUGGGGCUGGGGGGUGCUAUGGGGCCGAGGGAUUCACUGUGGGUCUGAGGGGUCUCUAUGGGUCUGGGGGGUCGCUAUGGGGCUGGGGGGUCUCUAUGGGUCUGGGGGGGUCGCUAUGGGGCUGCCCCCCAGGACCCCAUCUUCGCCAUGGGGCCGGAGGAGCUGCGGGCGCCGCUGGACAUUCCCCUGCCAGACCCGGCCCAGGUGAGGACCCCAAAAUGUGGGGCCGGGACCCCCAAGUGUGGGUCCGGGACCCUCAAGUGUGGGUCUAGGACCCCCAAGUGCCCCCUUCUCACCCCCCAACCCUGCCCCAUAGAAGAAGAAGAAGAAGGAGAAGGACGAGGAGGAGGAGGGUGAGUGUGGGGCAGAGGUUGGGGGUCCCAUGGGGUGGUUGUGGGGCGCUAUGGGGCAGUUAUGGGUCCCAUGGGGUAGUUAUGGGUCCCAU
This is a long non-coding RNA of Cairina moschata (Muscovy duck), 2612 nucleotides long. NCBI's taxonomy places the organism in Eukaryota, Metazoa, Chordata, Aves, Anseriformes, Anatidae. The record is from Ensembl.